CUUUCCGGCGCCAUGUUGGGCCUGUUUAUCAAGUCAGUUGGUCUGCAGACAGUAGAUUGCUUUUGAGUGGUAGUAAAGACUCUACUCUCAAGAUUUGGGAGAUUAGGACAAAAACGUUAAAACAAGAUCUUCCUGGUCAUGCAGACGAGUUUUUCGCGGUGGAUUGGAGUCCAGAUGGUGAGAAAGUAGUCUCUGGUGGUAAAGAAAGAAUUUUGAAGCUAUGGAAGGGUUAAAAAGAAAGAGCAUCGUGGACCUUUUUCAAGUAUAAGAUGUUUUGGAGAGUUUUCAUUGUUUUAAAAUUUAUGAUGUUCACAUUUUAAUGCAAAUUUAUUAAAUACUGUGCAAGUUGUAUGUUGGAUUCUUUCUCAUUGAAAUUUUGGCACAAGGCCG
Molecule: long non-coding RNA, 390 nt
Organism: Brassica oleracea var. oleracea
Lineage: Eukaryota; Viridiplantae; Streptophyta; Magnoliopsida; Brassicales; Brassicaceae
Exons: 3
Source: RefSeq, a predicted model, not a curated record